AGGUAGAGCUGUAAGUGUGAAGGAAGAAAGCAUUAAAAAAAAGAGAAAAGAAACCUUUGUAAGAAGGUGGCCUGUACAGUUUUUAUGUCCAAUUGCUAUACUGUUUUGGUGUGAUUAUGAAAUUAUCUAUGCAUCAAAAUCUCUUUGAAGACACAAUAACUUAAUGCCAUUUCUGGACUACAGCCAGCAUUGUACCCUGAAAGGAAUUCCAAGGAAAAAGAAUAUGACUGAUUGCUGGAUGUAAAGCAUGUGUUGG
This is a long non-coding RNA of Poecile atricapillus (Black-capped chickadee), 256 nucleotides long. RefSeq lists it as uncharacterized. The transcript is spliced from 3 exons. Lineage: Eukaryota; Metazoa; Chordata; Aves; Passeriformes; Paridae. The record is from RefSeq and is a predicted model, not a curated record.